GGGAUUUGGAAAGCCUCAGGAUGUGUGUUUGAUACCUCUUGACCUUUUUAAUUUCCAUUUUAUUUGCAUGUUUCUCGAGGCAAUGGUUUAUGACUAUGUUUUCCACUGGGUCCUGAGUUCAAUCCUGUUGUGUGCUAUUUCAUUUUUCUAGCUUGUUUUAUUUUCUUCUUUUUCUAAGUUUCAACUAACUUUCUAUUUAUUUCAUUAUUUUUACCAUUUCAUUUUUUCUAAUGUUAUUUUAUUUUUAAUCAUUUAUAUAUAUAUUUUUUUUUUUAUUCUCACUUCUCCGACGCUUGUU
RNAcentral lists this long non-coding RNA (298 nucleotides) under Lathyrus oleraceus (garden pea). RNAcentral's name for it is "Pisum sativum (pea) long non-coding RNA (PSAT_LNC014343)". The record is from RNAcentral. Lineage: Eukaryota; Viridiplantae; Streptophyta; Magnoliopsida; Fabales; Fabaceae.